GCACCCUUAGCUCAGUUGGUAGAGCAACUGACUCUUAAUCAGUGGGUCCAGGGUUCGAGUCCCUGUGGGUGCA
Molecule: transfer RNA, 73 nt
Filed under: Clostridiales bacterium
Lineage: Bacteria; Bacillati; Bacillota; Clostridia; Eubacteriales
Description: tRNA-Lys
Rfam family: tRNA
About the family: Transfer RNA (tRNA) molecules are approximately 80 nucleotides in length. Their secondary structure includes four short double-helical elements and three loops (D, anti-codon, and T loops). Further hydrogen bonds mediate the characteristic L-shaped molecular structure. tRNAs have two regions of fundamental functional importance: the anti-codon, which is responsible for specific mRNA codon recognition, and the 3' end, to which the tRNAs corresponding amino acid is attached (by aminoacyl-tRNA synthetases). tRNAs cope with the degeneracy of the genetic code in two manners: having more than one tRNA (with a specific anti-codon) for a particular amino acid; and 'wobble' base-pairing, i.e. permitting non-standard base-pairing at the 3rd anti-codon position.
Source: RNAcentral